This 985-nucleotide ribosomal RNA is filed under the name uncultured bacterium. RNAcentral describes it as "bacterial SSU rRNA". It matches the Rfam family "Bacterial small subunit ribosomal RNA". The record is from RNAcentral.
CGACGGCCACUUUAUCUUGGAUUCCUGGACUGAUACUGUCUGAGCGAUCAUGGCGCGUGCAAUACGUGGCACGUAGAACGCUGAAGGACUCUAGCUUGCUAAAGUUGGAAGAGUUGCGAACGGGUGGAGUAACGCGUAGGUAACCUGCCUACUAGCGGGGGGAUAACUUAUUGGAAACGAUAGCUAAUACCGGCGUAACAGCAUUUAACCCAUGUUAGAUGCUUGAAAGGAGCAAUUGCUUCACUAGUAGAUGGACCUGCGUUGUAUUAGCUAGUUGGUGAGGUAACGGCUCACCAAGGCGACGAUACAUAGCCGACCUGAGAGGGUGAUCGGGCCACACUGGGACUGAGACACGGUCCCAGACUCCUGCGGGAGGCUGCAGUAGGGAAUCUUCGGCAAUGGGGGCAACCCUGACCGAGCAACGCCGCGUGAGUGAAGAAGGUUUUCGGAUCGUAAAGCUCUGUUGUAAGAGAAGAACGUGUGUGAGAGUGGAAAGUUCACACAGUGACGGUAACUUACCAGAAAGGGACGGCUAACUACGUGCCAGCAGCCGCGGUAAUACGCAGGUCCCGAGCGUUGUCCGGAUUUAUUGGGCGUAAAGCGAGCGCAGGCGAUUUAAUAAGUCUGAAGUUAAAGGCAGUGGCUUAACCAUUGUUCGCUUUGGAAACUGUUAGACUUGAGUGCAGAAGGGGAGAGUGGAAUUCCAUGUGUAGCGGUGAAAUGCGUAGAUAUAUGGAGGAACACCGGUUGGCGAAAGCGGCUUCUCUGGUCUGUAACUGACGCUGAGGCUCGAAAGCGUGGGGGAGCAAACAGGAUUAGAUACCCUCGUAGUCCACGCCGUAAACGAUGAGUGCUAGGUGUUAGGCCCUUUCCGGGGCUUAGUGCCGCAGCUAACGCAUUAAGCACUCCGCCUGGGGAGCACGUCCGCAAGGUUUCAACUUCUACAGAAAGACGUACGGCCAGUCAUAACUGUUUACCUGCCUGU